This 461-nucleotide ribosomal RNA is filed under the name Acanthamoeba sp. Its description in RNAcentral is "SSU rRNA". It matches the Rfam family "Eukaryotic small subunit ribosomal RNA", at positions 740 to 1095 of the family's 1831-position model. Lineage: Eukaryota; Discosea; Longamoebia; Acanthamoebidae. The record is from RNAcentral.
GGCCCAGAUCGUUUACCGUGAAAAAAUUAGAGUGUUCAAAGCAGGCAGAUCCAAUUUUCUGCCACCGAAUACAUUAGCAUGGGAUAAUGGAAUAGGACCCUGUCCUCCUAUUUUCAGUUGGUUUUGGCAGCGCGAGGACUAGGGUAAUGAUUAAUAGGGAUAGUUGGGGGCAUUAAUAUUUAAUUGUCAGAGGUGAAAUUCUUGGAUUUAUGAAAGAUUAACUUCUGCGAAAGCAUCUGCCAAGGAUGUUUUCAUUAAUCAAGAACGAAAGUUAGGGGAUCGAAGACGAUCAGAUACCGUCGUAGUCUUAACCAUAAACGAUGCCGACCAGCGAUUAGGAGACGUUGAAUACAAAACACCACCAUCGGUGCGGUCGUCCUUGGCGUCGGUCUUUCAGAGCCGGCGCGGGGGCGGCUUAGCCCGGUGGCACCGGUGAAUGACUCCCCUAGCAGCUUGUGAGA